GGAGGCCUUAGCUUAAUUAAAGUGUCUGAGUUGCAGUCAGAAGAUGUAUAGUAGAGUUUUACAGGCCUUCAGAAAUU
Molecule: transfer RNA, 77 nt
Filed under: Alsophylax pipiens
Lineage: Eukaryota; Metazoa; Chordata; Lepidosauria; Squamata; Gekkonidae
Description: tRNA-Ala
Source: RNAcentral